Cervus elaphus (red deer) is the source of this 2066-nucleotide long non-coding RNA. RefSeq lists it as uncharacterized. The transcript is spliced from 4 exons. Lineage: Eukaryota; Metazoa; Chordata; Mammalia; Artiodactyla; Cervidae. The record is from RefSeq and is a predicted model, not a curated record.
UCGCAGGAGAACCGGCAGGACGCCGGAGACCCCAUCUUCUGGUACCCAUUGCCCCAGCUCAGCUCCUCCCUGCGGAGGAGGCAGGAAGGACCGGAACGGCAGCCUCCGCAGCCCCGAGUCUCCGGAGGGGCGGCUGGACCUUCACCCUGCGGAGCGUCUGGGCGCCCAGAGCCCAGACUUACUCAUCUGGAAAACAUACCUGUGCUGAUCUCACAGAACUCUGGCAGGCUCCCCCAGAAGAUGGGGAUGCCCCCAGAUGGAGACAGGGAGACAAUGGGGAGAGGAAAGCGACGAAAACUAACCUUUCAACCAGACCAGGAGCCCCAAAUUGACAUCAGGAAGAGGAAAUGGAGUGGGCAUGAACAGAAAGAAGACACUUGGGGGCUCUGGAGAGGGCACUGAGCUGGGAUGGAGGAGGCUGUGUGAUGCUGGAUGUGGAAACUGAAGCCCUGCUCUGAAAUCAAGUGACCUGGAAUUGGGACCUGCCGGUCUAGCCAUGGAGUCUGAGGUCCUAACUUGCACACUCAGAGCGCCUGCCACCCUCUGGCAGCUGGAUGAUAGACCUUGGUGGGAGAAGGGCCUGCCGAACUUUCUCGAUGGGACAAGGGGGAACCGGCGGCCUUGGAAGGGAAAGGGUCACAGCCCAUGAGAUGGAGGCAGCAAACAGGCCUGCUGGGACAAAGUUCAAAUGAAAGGAUGGGGCUUCUGGACCAUGGACUUGGGAGGAAAAGGGGGUACAACUCCAGCUCCCUCUCUUAAGCAUCGACCACGAUCCAGGCAUGGAUCUGGAAGCCCCCACAGAUCAUCACAGAUCUGUGAGGUGAUCCUGGCAUUGUCCCAUUUCACAGAUGAGGGAACUGAGGCUAACGGGGAGCAGAGGCUGGACAGAUACCCAGGUGUUUUAACUCCCAGACCAGUGCCCCUUCCCAUCUCUGGUUGUUGUCAGAAGAGGGAGAGGGGCCGGUGGCCUGGUGGUAGCUAAAGGGGUUUUCCUGGUGAGAGCUGGAGGGUGGAUACCCCAGCUUCUUUCUCAGGAGGCAGUUGGAGGGAUUUGGGCUAGCUGCUGAGGCAGUGGCAUCAGCCAGUACUGGCUUUCUGGCCAGGCCUACUCCCAACUUGCUGUGUGACCCUCCAUGAAAGACUUUACCUCUCUGAGUCUCAGUUUCCUCAUCUGUGAAAUGGGGUCACAGUAAUCCCCCGACUCCCCCACUUCCUGGAGUUGUUGGGAAGACAAAAAGAGUGAAUGAUGGCCUGGGCCAGUACACCCUGGCACUUCUUGCUGAAGGAUGGAGGUGGUUCAGGCCAGGGGCAGACUGGCUUAAGUCAGGAAAACCCCGGGGCAGGCACACUGGGUGAAACUCGGGAGUCCCAGGCAUGGCCAGGGUGAGGCUGUGCUGCCGUGGUGGAGGGGCCUUGCUUGCGCCAGGCUAGCCCUGCCGUUGGCCCAGGCGCCAGGGUAGUUGCCGCAUCCCAGGGAGAAUGAAUGGGGCUCAGUGUGACCACUCAGUGUGGCGGCUCCGCUGAGCUCAGAGCCCUCUUUGUGCCGCCUCGAGUGGCCGUUGGGAGUGCGGCUGGGGACCUGCUGGCCGGUGGCUGUCCCCCGGGCCCUCCUCAGCCGGCGCUGGAGGCCAGCCCAACCCCACUCCGCAGCCCUGAACACACGAGCGCUUUCCAGCCUCAGGCCUUUGCUUGGGCUAGACCCACACUCGGAACGCACGCACCCCUCCACUGGCUCGUCUUUCUCUCCACUGAGUCCCUGUGGUCUAGACUGAGCCACAGGGCCCCAGGAACCCUGCUCUGAUUUCUAGCCCCUCCAUUCUCUCCUCCCCAAUCUAUGACAGAGGUGUCAGCAAUCUGGCCAAGGACGAUUAGAGACUGGAGCCUUUCAAUGUCAUAGUCACUGUACCCAGGCACACCUGAGUCCAGACGGCCACCUGCCUGACCUCAAGCAAGUCACAUCACCUCUCUGAGCGUCAUUGUUCCCAUCAAUAAAAUGGGACAAACUCAACAUCUCUCACACGAUCCUGUGGCUGUGAAAUAAGACGUCUACACUGAGAAUACUGUCU